GUCACAGACAUUCCCUCUCCCUGCUGCCUUUUGAUCUUAGAAGCUAAACUGGGAUGGUUCUAGAUAGUACUUGGAUGGGAGACCAGCAGGAGAUCUCAGAGUUGUAGACU
RNAcentral lists this ribosomal RNA (110 nucleotides) under Salvator merianae (Argentine black and white tegu). The record is from RNAcentral. Lineage: Eukaryota; Metazoa; Chordata; Lepidosauria; Squamata; Teiidae.